AUUGAACGCUGGCGGCAGGCCUAACACAUGCAAGUCGAACGAGUGGCGGACGGGUGAGUAAUGUAUGGGAAACUGCCCGAUGGAGGGGGAUAACUACUGGAAACGGUAGCUAAUACCGCAUACCAUCGGAUGUACCCAGAUGGGAUUAGCUAGUAGGUGGGGUAACGGCUCACCUAGGCGACGAUCCCUAGCUGGUCUGAGAGGAUGACCAGCCACACUGGAACUGAGACACGGUCCAGACUCCUACGGGAGGCAGCAGUGGGGAAUAGUGCACAAUGGGGGCAAGCCUGAUGCAGCCAUGCCGCGUGUAUGAAGAAGGCCUUCGGGUUGUAAAGUACUUUCAGCGGGGAGGCGUUACUCGCAGAAGAAGCACCGGCUAACUCCGUGCCAGCAGCCGCGGUAAUAC
RNAcentral lists this ribosomal RNA (406 nucleotides) under uncultured bacterium. RNAcentral describes it as "partial 16S ribosomal RNA". It matches the Rfam family "Bacterial small subunit ribosomal RNA", at positions 30 to 526 of the family's 1533-position model. The record is from RNAcentral.